Molecule: ribosomal RNA, 1441 nt
Filed under: uncultured organism
Description: SSU rRNA
Rfam family: Bacterial small subunit ribosomal RNA
Source: RNAcentral
GAUGAACGCUAGCUACAGGCUUAACACAUGCAAGUCGAGGGGCAGCAUGGUCUUAGCUUGCUAAGGCCGAUGGCGACCGGCGCACGGGUGAGUAACACGUAUCCAACCUGCCGUCUACUCUUGGACAGCCUUCUGAAAGGAAGAUUAAUACAAGAUGGCAUCAUGAGUCCGCAUGUUCACAUGAUUAAAGGUAUUCCGGUAGACGAUGGGGAUGCGUUCCAUUAGAUAGUAGGCGGGGUAACGGCCCACCUAGUCUUCGAUGGAUAGGGGUUCUGAGAGGAAGGUCCCCCACAUUGGAACUGAGACACGGUCCAAACUCCUACGGGAGGCAGCAGUGAGGAAUAUUGGUCAAUGGGCGAGAGCCUGAACCAGCCAAGUAGCGUGAAGGAUGACUGCCCUAUGGGUUGUAAACUUCUUUUAUAAAGGAAUAAAGUCGGGUAUGGAUACCCGUUUGCAUGUACUUUAUGAAUAAGGAUCGGCUAACUCCGUGCCAGCAGCCGCGGUAAUACGGAGGAUCCGAGCGUUAUCCGGAUUUAUUGGGUUUAAAGGGAGCGUAGAUGGAUGUUUAAGUCAGUUGUGAAAGUUUGCGGCUCAACCGUAAAAUUGCAGUUGAUACUGGAUAUCUUGAGUGCAGUUGAGGCAGGCGGAAUUCGUGGUGUAGCGGUGAAAUGCUUAGAUAUCACGAAGAACUCCGAUUGCGAAGGCAGCCUGCUAAGCUGCAACUGACAUUGAGGCUCGAAAGUGUGGGUAUCAAACAGGAUUAGAUACCGUGGUAGUCCACACGGUAAACGAUGAAUACUCACUGUUUGCGAUAUACUGCAAGCGGCCAAGCGAAAGCGUUAAGUAUUCCACCUGGGGAGUACGCCGGCAACGGUGAAACUCAAAGGAAUUGACGGGGGCCCGCACAAGCGGAGGAACAUGUGGUUUAAUUCGAUGAUACGCGAGGAACCUUACCCGGGCUUAAAUUGCAGAUGAAUUACGGUGAAAGCCGUAAGCCGCAAGGCAUCUGUGAAGGUGCUGCAUGGUUGUCGUCAGCUCGUGCCGUGAGGUGUCGGCUUAAGUGCCAUAACGAGCGCAACCCUUGUUGUCAGUUACUAACAGGUUCCGCUGAGGACUCUGACAAGACUGCCAUCGUAAGAUGUGAGGAAGGUGGGGAUGACGUCAAAUCAGCACGGCCCUUACGUCCGGGGCUACACACGUGUUACAAUGGGGGGUACAGAGGGCCGCUACCACGCGAGUGGAUGCCAAUCCCCAAAACCUCUCUCAGUUCGGACUGGAGUCUGCAACCCGACUCCACGAAGCUGGAUUCGUUAGUAAUCGCGCAUCAGCCACGGCGCGGUGAAUACGUUCCCGGGCCUUGUACACACCGCCCGUCAAGCCAUGGGAGCCGGGGGUACCUGAAGUGCGUAACCGCGAGGAGCGCCCUAGGGUAAAACUGGUG